UAGGGAAUCUUCCACAAUGGACGCAAGUCUGAUGGAGCAACGCCGCGUGAGUGAAGAAGGCUUUCGGGUCGUAAAACUCUGUUAUUGAAGAAGAACGUGCGUGACAGUAACUGGUCAUGCAGUGACGGUAUUCAAUCAGAAAGUCACGGCUAACUACGUGCCAGCAGCCGCGGUAAUACGUAGGUGGCAAGCGUUGUCCGGAUUUAUUGGGCGUAAAGCGAGUGCAGGCGGUCUUUUAAGUCUGAUGUGAAAGCCUUCGGCUUAACCGAAGAAGGGCAUCGGAAACUGGGAGACUUGAGUGCAGAAGAGGAGAGUGGAACUCCAUGUGUAGCGGUGAAAUGCGUAGAUAUAUGGAAGAACACCAGUGGCGAAGGCGGCUCUCUGGUCUGUAACUGACACUGAGGCUCGAAAGCGUGGGGAGCAAAACAGGAUUA
Molecule: ribosomal RNA, 434 nt
Filed under: uncultured bacterium
Lineage: Bacteria
Description: partial 16S ribosomal RNA
Rfam family: Bacterial small subunit ribosomal RNA
Source: RNAcentral